AUUACUUUGGCAGAGGAAUGUGUUAGAUUUAGAAUCUAAUUAUGCGGUUUUGGCCGCAGGUAAUA
RNAcentral lists this transfer RNA (65 nucleotides) under Typhlatya iliffei. RNAcentral describes it as "tRNA-Leu". It matches the Rfam family "tRNA". From Rfam's summary of the family: Transfer RNA (tRNA) molecules are approximately 80 nucleotides in length. Their secondary structure includes four short double-helical elements and three loops (D, anti-codon, and T loops). Further hydrogen bonds mediate the characteristic L-shaped molecular structure. tRNAs have two regions of fundamental functional importance: the anti-codon, which is responsible for specific mRNA codon recognition, and the 3' end, to which the tRNAs corresponding amino acid is attached (by aminoacyl-tRNA synthetases). tRNAs cope with the degeneracy of the genetic code in two manners: having more than one tRNA (with a specific anti-codon) for a particular amino acid; and 'wobble' base-pairing, i.e. permitting non-standard base-pairing at the 3rd anti-codon position. The record is from RNAcentral. Lineage: Eukaryota; Metazoa; Arthropoda; Malacostraca; Decapoda; Atyidae.